Molecule: ribosomal RNA, 327 nt
Filed under: Afroptilum confusum
Lineage: Eukaryota; Metazoa; Arthropoda; Insecta; Ephemeroptera; Baetidae
Description: partial 12S ribosomal RNA
Source: RNAcentral
AUAAUAUUCUGUUAAUAAAACUCAGAGUAGUAACAGAAUUCUCUAAACUCAAAAAAUUUGGCGGCAUUUUAUCCUAUUAGAGGAACCUGUCUCGUAAAUGAUGACCCACGUUUUGUUUUACCAUUUUUAAAAGUUUGUAUACCGCCGUUUUGAGGAUAUUAUAAAGUAUCUUCUUAAUUAUUUUAAUCAAAACCUCAGGUCAAGGUGCAGCUAAUGUAAUGGAGUAAGAUGGGUUACAUUAAUUAAAAUUAUACGAAAAAUUUAUUUAAAAUUUAUUAAAAGGUGGAUUUAAUUGUAAAUUUUGUAUUAACUAAAUUGACUAGGUUA